This 74-nucleotide transfer RNA is filed under the name Caldithrix sp. RNAcentral's name for it is "tRNA-Val". It matches the Rfam family "tRNA". From Rfam's summary of the family: Transfer RNA (tRNA) molecules are approximately 80 nucleotides in length. Lineage: Bacteria; Pseudomonadati; Calditrichota; Calditrichia; Calditrichales; Calditrichaceae. The record is from RNAcentral. RNAcentral also lists the same sequence under 2 other names.
GGGCGCUUAGCUCAGUUGGUUAGAGUGCUUGCUUGACAUGCAAGAGGUCACCGGUUCAAAUCCAGUAGCGCCCA